GACGAACGCUGGCGGCGUGCCUAAUACAUGCAAGUAGAACGCACAGUUUAUACCGUAGCUUGCUACACCAUAGACUGUGAGUUGCGAACGGGUGAGUAACGCGUAGGUAACCUGCCUGGUAGCGGGGGAUAACUAUUGGAAACGAUAGCUAAUACCGCAUAAUAUUGAUUAUUGCAUGAUAAUUGAUUGAAAGAUGCUAUUGCAUCACUACCAGAUGGACCUGCGUUGUAUUAGCUAGUAGGUGAGGUAACGGCUCACCUAGGCGACGAUACAUAGCCGACCUGAGAGGGUGAUCGGCCACACUGGGACUGAGACACGGCCCAGACUCCUACGGGAGGCAGCAGUAGGGAAUCUUUGGCAAUGGACGAAAGUCUGACCGAGCAACGCCGCGUGAGUGAAGAAGGUUUUCGGAUCGUAAAGCUCUGUUGUAAGAGAAGAACGGGUGUGAGAGUGGAAAGUUCACACUGUGACGGUAUCUUACCAGAAAGGGACGGCUAACUACGUG
Molecule: ribosomal RNA, 505 nt
Filed under: uncultured bacterium
Lineage: Bacteria
Description: partial 16S ribosomal RNA
Rfam family: Bacterial small subunit ribosomal RNA
Source: RNAcentral